UUUAUAUAUUUACAAAGAGACCUAUAAUUAUGAAAUUAAAUAUGAAUUAUGAAAAUUCUUAACAAGUUAAUUUAUUAAAGUUUUUCUAUAUAAAUAUAAAUUAUUAAAAAAAUCAAUUAUUUAUUAUUUAUAGAUUGAUUAAUAUCAAAUUUUCAAUUUUGGUGAAAAUUGCUUUUCACUAAGGUAGAGUUGGCAUUUAGGAAGGGGGAAAAAGCGCCCUAUAAAGAAAGUAAAGGGGAAAAAAAGCCAUUUAGAACUAAGAAAUUUUAAAAUAUAAUUAUUGUAUAUACAACAAUUUUAUUAUGAUCAUUAAUUAUG
This 318-nucleotide unclassified non-coding RNA is filed under the name Hevea brasiliensis (rubber tree). Lineage: Eukaryota; Viridiplantae; Streptophyta; Magnoliopsida; Malpighiales; Euphorbiaceae. The record is from RNAcentral.